GCCGCCAUCCCUCGCGUCCUUCCCUUCGUUCCCAACUCUGUGUGUACGCGGUGUGCGGAAAACUGCGGAGUAAAGUCGAUCUCUCGCGAUCGCGAGGCGACGGGCACUCCGACCGUCGUCGCCGCCGCCGUCGUCGUCGUGCUCGUCGCUGCAACGAUGCGCGGUUUUAUCGCGCGGCAUCAUUACGUGCGCGCUGUACCAACUCAAGAGGAUGACGGCAUGCUAUACGACGAUAUGGCGUAGGGAACGUUCGUUAAAGGCGAAUAUCGAAAAAUAAGAAUGCGGCCGACGCCGCGCGUCGAAGAUGCACCGGCGCGGGCUCGUCGAAGCGGACGCGCUUGAAAAUUAUUUCGCGUCGCUGUCGUUUUUCAGCGCCGUCUACGUUUUAGCCAGGUUCGUUCUCUUAAAAGCGAGCGCGCCGUUAAGUGGUGUUCGUUAAAGCGAAAUAUCGAAAAAUGUGCGCUUCACGACCCCGCCGUUAGCGAUCGAGAUUUGCCGAACUUCAUUCGAUUAGAUCGAAUCUCUUCCUGUGAUGUUGGGAUACAUUAGAUUCACUUUUCAAUUUCGAGUGAAAAUAUUUAUUCAACGAUUUAGGAAAAGUAGCUGGAAAGAGUAUUCUGCAGAAUAUUUAUUCACUAUGAGUGAACAAUCGAUUGAAUUUGAGUGAGCCGAUUAUCAUUCUAUUUUUCGAGUGAAAUUCUAUCCUAAAAAAUUUUAAGUGUACAUUUCAUGCAAAAGACGGAGGAACGUGCGAAGAAAUGAAAACGAAGUUAGAUGCCGUCUAUGGGAACCCUUCACCAUCUAUGACAAUCGUCAAAUGCUGGUUCAAAUAUUCAUCUAUUUUUGAUGAGGAGCGUCCAGGCCGUCCGGCGGACGUGGUUACCGAGGAAAUCAUUGAAAAGCUCUGCUCGGUGAAUACCAAGGAGCGUGUUAUUAUCCCCGAGGAGAGUUCUUUUCGUCGACGGAUACAAAGAAUACUCAGGCGAUAUCGGGGCAUCGAAGGGCCAGAAAUUUCUUACAUAUGUAUGCGCGCCAGCUUUCCCGCCUAGCAACAAUUUAAUCAGCGCGCACCAAUUUCAUCAACCCUUCCGCGAUAUGGCGGGGCCGGUACCUCAGGAACGCGGUACACGCGCGGAUGGCGGAGGUAAAUGGCGAGCGUAGUGGCGGCGGAUAUGGCGAAGGACUAAACGGGGAUUCGCCGCAACAAUUUCGUUAAUGCCUCGUUCGCUCCGUUCGUCGAAAAGUACGCCACCGUCACCGCUAUCGCUAUCACAGCCGCCACCGAUUCUUUAUCGCGCUCCUGCGCUCCUAUCUCGGAAAACGGCAGCAGAACUUUUCAAACGUCAUGUUUAUCGUCACGUCCCAUCGCGGACAUAUGAGCACGCGCGCACGCUCGUGCGUGUGUAAGUAGAUAGGUAGGUAGCUAGAUACGCGCCUAUACAUGCGUGCCUGUGUCCGUGUGUACCCUCUUCGUUCCGCCCCAAUACCGAUCCGAUACACGUAUCACGGCUGCCUUCGCUAGAAACUUUCCAGAGAUGGUGCGUGUGCCCAUUAUCUGCGCCCAUUAUGAUCGACGAAUCCGGAUUUUCGGUACUAGUGCGUUCUCUCUAGAACGGCCGAUAAGCUUUUGGGGAAAAACGAAAGGAGAGAUCUCCGCCGAAUGGAACACACGCCGACGUGAAAUUAUCCAUCCUUUCGUCUCAACGACAGACUGAUCAGUCGACGUGGUACGGUGCGUCGCGUUAACGCGAAUGUGUUAUCGAGAAACAGUGAGACGGGAUUAACGACUUUUCCGAUGUGUAGACACAUUGAAUGGGAAAUGCGCCUCCUUUCGGAGGCUUCCUUUCUCCCUUCCCGCCACCACGAAAGCGACGGCUCUGCUAAACACAUACGCGCGUCCAUAAACGUAAGUAGCGCGAAGCUUACUAAUUAGCAUGUGAUUAAUGACGCGGUUGUAGGGAUAAAUUGCUCUCUCUCUCUCUCUCUCUCUCAUAAUGGUUAUAAUGUUGUCGAAGGCGACACGAUAAACGCGCGUGAAAACGGAAAGAUGCCGGUAUAUGCUACAUCAUCGACGUCGUUCACAGAAAAUACGAGAAAGCGCGGCGAGAAGGAGGAGAGGGGGCAGACUUGUGUUUGGGAAGUUCGACUCGUGAAUUCCGCUGGAGCGCGAGAGGUCACUGUAUCGAGAGGUCGUUAUCAGCUUUAAUGAUCUCGCAAGCUAUCCGAUACAUCGAUAGUCUUUCUUUUCUUCCCCUUUUACUACCCCCUCUCCCCUUCCUCUCUUCUUUUUUUUUCUUUCUCUGGAAGUGUCAUGGAGUUGCGCUGUGCACCUUCACGAUGUACCAAGAAUUUCUCGCUACUCUAAACGUUUCGUGUUUCUAAUGAACACAAACCCAUCUUUAUCCCCGCUCCAUCUCUCUCCUCCCUUCCUCACACACACAUUUUUCAUGUUUCAUUUUUCACACUGCGCUUUUUCAUCGCGUUUUAUUUCAUAUACCUCUAAUCGAUCUAUCCUGUCUUUCCUCAACGGGUUUUGUAAAUGAUUUUACCGCGCAUUUCUUGUUUCGAAAAACCGUUCUAGCUGCUUCAUCGAAAACGCAGGCGUCUACAAUACCUAUCCAACUAUCUCACAUUACCCUCCCACUUAGUACCCUUCGCACUCCUCGUCUAACGCGAUUUACAUUCCGGCUGUGAUUGCCGAUGUUCGGCUCGUUUGCUGUUCGAAGUCGCGGAACGCCGCUGCGUUUUAACUCGGUGAACGGCGAUCGCUCGAUCGCAUGUCCACUUUCGCGACCGAUUACCAUCGACGCGCGCGCAGAAAGACUUCUUUUAUCUCGCGUCGCUUUUUACGAAGCCGUUAAAUGAAAUCUGAAAAUUAUGCGCGAUAAAGUCUGUUCUUCGACGAGCCGUUGAACCGAGAAUGAACGUGUGUGCGAGCAACGUAUUAUACACGAUCUGUCCCAAAAGUUUCCGAAUUUUCAUUAAAACAGACGCUGUAAAGUAAUAGAAAUUUUUACUUACAAUUAUUCCAAAUACAUCCCUUUCGGAGAAAUACAAUCUUUACAACGGUCGUACAGCUUUAGAAAACUCCGUUGAAAGUCUUCCUUUGGGAUGGUCGAAAUAGCCUGAAUGUCCAAAAUAAUGGCUCCCCCUUCAGUUUCGGGAACAAAAAUUAGUCGCAUAGUGCCAAAUCUGGUGAAUAUGGGGGAUGAUCAAGGACUAAGACCGAAAUUUGCACGCCGGCGGUGCACUUGCCGGAGCAUCGUCAUGCAGAAGCGACCAAGCUGCCUUGCACUUGGUAUCGAGGAUGAACCCGACCAAUUCUUGCCAGCUUCAUAACGCCCAAGUAAUAAGUCAAAAGUAGAUCACACUAAUCUUUUCUACGGUUUCGACCGUUCGGCCUCCCGCUGCGCUCGUCAUCUUCCAGCGAUUCUCUACCGUCCCGGAAUUUCACGAACCACUCGUAAACUGAUGUAAGGGGAUAGUGCUUUGUCCCUAUAAGCCUCCUGUAACAUUGCUAAUGUUUCUGUGAACGUUUCGCCCAAUUUCACACAAAAUUUGAUAUUUGCCCCAUCCGUGAUUUCUCGGUGAGCGUCACACGCGGUUACGUCGGUUUUAUACUUGUGGUAAAACAACCGUGGGAGGGACCUUAAUUCAACUUACAGAAUUUGUGAACAAAAAUAGUGCAAUCUUAUUUGUAUAGAUGGCGCCACUAAUACCGUCCGUAGGAAGAAAAUUCGAAAACUUUUGGGACAGACCGUGUAUUUAUUUCUUAUGCCCGCGACUCGCAUUAUUGCAAAACAGAAAAAAUGAGGUCGAUACACAGUGUGUAUUACUUUGACGUUACGUAAAGGCGAGUCGCUCGCGCGCACGCACACACAUCAUGGGAGGUAAACAAUCUAUAAUAAGGCGACUCUGCUUUCCUUAAUUAGACGAAUACUUGAAAAUAAAUCACUUCAUGAGUGACAGGCUCCAAUUAUAAUUACACUUGGCGUGCGGCGCACAACCUCGAACGUCAAUACGGUUCAUCAUGACAUCAGCGUUACUUCCUUCUGGCUUAUAUAUUUAGAUGGAAUAAAAAGAGUACGCGCGCGAGAGACCAUCGCGGUGACGCAAGAAUAUCCAUAUCGGCGCGCGCGAAUUCCCGGGACGCACGCUGCGCUUAAAACUUAUCCACGCCACCAUGAAAAAUGUAUCUUUGUGGAAAGUCAACGUAGUGUAAAGAGGAGAGACUGAAAAAAAGAGAAAGAUAGAGAGAGAGAGAGAGAGAGAGAUCGCGGUAAUCCUUUUGGGUGUCCUUCCACCCCUUGUCUCUCCUUUUCUUCGCUUCCUUCCUCUCCUUCUUCUCCAAGGAUCUCCUUUGCCGCCAAAAACCACACCCACAAUGCCGCGCGUUCAACGUUAUACCGCACGUCCGACCACCCUGCCGGUUCCUGAAAAAUUUCGCAACCCUGCCUCGCUUCACCUCGUUUCGUCUCACAUCGCCUCGCCUUCCGGCCACCCUCCCUCUCUCUCUCUCUCUCGAUAACCUAGGUUAAAGCCAUUUCCCAGCUAGCGCUUCGCCCGGUCCCUCGUAUAUCCCACGAAAGCGCGAUUCUCUCCAGCGAAGCGGCACAACCAGCGGAGGCAAGCCAGUGGCAGGUAGGCAGGCAGGCAGGCAGGCAGGUAGGCAACGCAGGCAGGCAACGCGGGACUUUUGGGACGCGUUGUACAUGGGUCGCAUCGCAUCGUAGGUUCGCGAUGGGUUGGAUACAUGAGGGAGAGGACGCGGGUAGGAGGUGGUAGCAAGGGGAGACGAGGGCGCGAGAGUGAGCGAGCGAAUGAACGAGCGAGCGAGCGAAGCAGCGAGCGCGAUCGCGAUCGCGCGCGCGCUCUUGCGGGGGGAGGGGGACCCUCUUUAUGUAGCACAUAGACGUUGCCUGGCGUUCGUUCGUUGCCGCUCGCUCGGCGUGUGACGCUCAAAUUACCUCCGUCCUCCCUGGUACGUCUCCCCCUCGCUUUCCCCCCUCGCGUUGGUCCCUCGUCCC
Molecule: long non-coding RNA, 5027 nt
Organism: Dinoponera quadriceps
Lineage: Eukaryota; Metazoa; Arthropoda; Insecta; Hymenoptera; Formicidae
Exons: 4
Source: RefSeq, a predicted model, not a curated record